RNAcentral lists this ribosomal RNA (253 nucleotides) under uncultured bacterium. Its description in RNAcentral is "partial 16S ribosomal RNA". It matches the Rfam family "Bacterial small subunit ribosomal RNA", at positions 524 to 776 of the family's 1533-position model. The record is from RNAcentral.
UACGGAGGGUCCAAGCGUUAUCCGGAAUCAUUGGGGUUAAAGGGUCCGUAGGCGGUUUUGUAAGUCAGUGGUGAAAGCCCAUCGCUCAACGGUGGAACGGCCAUUGAUACUGCAAGACUUGAAUUAUUGUGAAGUAACUAGAAUAUGUAGUGUAGCGGUGAAAUGCUUAGAGAUUACAUGGAAUACCAAUUGCGAAGGCAGGUUACUAACAAUAUAUUGACGCUGAUGGAUGAAAGCGUGGGUAGCGAACAGG